Molecule: ribosomal RNA, 253 nt
Filed under: uncultured bacterium
Lineage: Bacteria
Description: partial 16S ribosomal RNA
Rfam family: Bacterial small subunit ribosomal RNA
Source: RNAcentral
UACGGAGGGAGCUAGCGUUGUUCGGAAUUACUGGGCGUAAAGCGCGCGUAGGCGGCUUUGUAGGUUAGAGGUGAAAGCCCGGGGCUCAACUCCGGAACUGCCUUUAAGACUGCAUCGCUUGAAUCCGGGAGAGGUGAGUGGAAUUCCGAGUGUAGAGGUGAAAUUCGUAGAUAUUCGGAAGAACACCAGUGGCGAAGGCGGCUCACUGGACCGGUAUUGACGCUGAGGUGCGAAAGCGUGGGGAGCAAACAGG